GGAGCCGUGGCAGAGAGGCCUAAUGCGCCGUGUUGCUAACACGGAGUGGUCACCACCACCGGAGGUUCGAAUCCUCCCGGCUCCG
Molecule: transfer RNA, 85 nt
Filed under: Actinoplanes lutulentus
Lineage: Bacteria; Bacillati; Actinomycetota; Actinomycetes; Micromonosporales; Micromonosporaceae
Description: tRNA-Ser
Rfam family: tRNA
About the family: Transfer RNA (tRNA) molecules are approximately 80 nucleotides in length. Their secondary structure includes four short double-helical elements and three loops (D, anti-codon, and T loops).
Source: RNAcentral